GAGAGACAGAAGGUGGAGGAGCGAGGAUGGAAGUGGACUCCUGUGGGAGCAGUGACACCCUCCAAGGGCCUCUGUUCCUUCUGGAAAAUACAAGUCGACUGUUGAUGGAGGACUGUACCACAUGGCCUUUAAAACGGAUAUAAAGUGGCAUCAUAAGGGUCUACAGCGACAGCACGGAUAGGGGGUCUGUUUCUGUCUUUGGUUAUCUAGCUGUAUGAGUAUGAAAUACCUGUCAUAAAGCUAGAUAACCGAAUGUAGGAAUGACUUCCAUGACGUUUAAGGGGGAGAAACAAAUGUACUCUGGAAUCAAAGAUUUUCAAUUAGCGCCAUUCUUGCUGAAAAGAUGCUAGAAGCAAUUGGAGAGAAAAACCAGGAUGGGGUCGCAACAGCAAUGGGAUGCCAUCUGCACCGCUAGCGAGAGACGGCGUGCCCAUGCCAGGAGGUACACAAAGGCCUUGGCUGAUCCUCGCUCGGAUUCUGGAGGCGCUCGGAGGAGCCAUCUUGGGAGAUGUUGCCAUGAUAUCUAAAAUGGCUGGGCUGACAUACAAGGAUGGAGAUGACAAGCUUCAAACUGCACACCAAACUCAUCCAAAAGUCAUCACGCAAAUCAUUGUUGUCUUUUUGUUUUGUUUUUUUUAAGUAAUAACCCAGUAGACCAGCUUUAUUUGUUCUAAAUUGUCAAAGUGUUAUUUGACAUUUUAAUACACUUCCUUAUGUGAAAUGUGUUUAUUAUGAAAUCUGCAAAUAAAAAGCUUCCUGACAUAAAGUUUUGUGAUUUUUCAUAGUUUUGUUUAAAAAGAUAUAUAUAAAUGUUGUUAUUGGAGAUAAAGCAUUGUUUACUUUGGACAUUUCUAUUUUAGCAAUAAGAAACACAUCAACACGCUCAUCCUGUCGUCGUAUAAAACGCAUCGAACAUUAUUCAUAUAUUUUAUUAGCUAAUAUUGAAAAGAUGUGGAAAAUUUGUAAAAAUGAUCAGCAAAAAAAGGCCGCGGGUGAAAGCCUGCACUUUGUUUCCUUGGCUGAAGAUGUGCGCGAGGGGCUUUGAGUUAAAAAAAAAAAACAACGCACAUUUGGGGGGUAAAAUGUUUUAAUUCGACGAUUGAAUGAAGUCGUGAAUCAUGUCUGCAGGCCAGACAGGAUCCCGUUUAGAAAGAACGCCCUCACGUUUUCAAAGUAGCCAUAAACGAUGCGUUUCAUUUACACAAAAACACUGCAAGGCCCAAAUAUAUCAGACGCAAUUGUGACGAAGGAGC
Molecule: long non-coding RNA, 1253 nt
Organism: Dunckerocampus dactyliophorus (ringed pipefish)
Lineage: Eukaryota; Metazoa; Chordata; Actinopteri; Syngnathiformes; Syngnathidae
Exons: 4
Source: RefSeq, a predicted model, not a curated record